RNAcentral lists this ribosomal RNA (484 nucleotides) under uncultured bacterium. Its description in RNAcentral is "partial 16S ribosomal RNA". It matches the Rfam family "Bacterial small subunit ribosomal RNA", at positions 30 to 507 of the family's 1533-position model. The record is from RNAcentral.
AUUGAACGCUGGCGGCAGGCCUAACACAUGCAAGUCGAGCGGAUGAAGGGAGCUUGCUCCUGGAUUCAGCGGCGGACGGGUGAGUAAUGCCUAGGAAUCUGCCUGGUAGUGGGGGAUAACGUCCGGAAACGGGCGCUAAUACCGCAUACGUCCUGAGGGAGAAAGUGGGGGAUCUUCGGACCUCACGCUAUCAGAUGAGCCUAGGUCGGAUUAGCUAGUUGGUGGGGUAAAGGCCUACCAAGGCGACGAUCCGUAACUGGUCUGAGAGGAUGAUCAGUCACACUGGAACUGAGACACGGUCCAGACUCCUACGGGAGGCAGCAGUGGGGAAUCUUGGACGAUGGGCGAAAGCCUGAUCCAGCCAUGCCGCGUGUGUGAAGAAGGUCUUCGGAUUGUAAAGCACUUUAAGUUGGGAGGAAGGGCAGUAAGUUAAUACCUUGCUGUUUUGACGUUACCAACAGAAUAAGCACCGGCUAACUUCGUG